CCUACGGGUGGCAGCAGUGAGGAAUAUUGGUCAAUGGACGAGAGUCUGAACCAGCCAAGUAGCGUGAAGGAUGACUGCCCUAUGGGUUGUAAACUUCUUUUAUAAAGGAAUAAAACGAGGCACGUGUGCCUUUUUGCAUGUACUUUAUGAAUAAGGAUCGGCUAACUCCGUGCCAGCAGCCGCGGUAAUACGGAGGAUCCGAGCGUUAUCCGGAUUUAUUGGGUUUAAAGGGAGCGUAGAUGGGUUGUUAAGUCAGUUGUGAAAGUUUGCGGCUCAACCGUAAAAUUGCAAUUGAUACUGGCAGUCGUGAGUACAGUUGAGGUAGGCGGAAUUCGUGGUGUAGCGGUGAAAUGCUUAGAUAUCACGAAGAACCCCGAUUGCGAAGGCAGCUUACUAAACUGCAACUGACAUUGAUGCUCGAAAGUGUGGGUAUCAAACAGGAUUAGAUACCCCGGUAGUC
RNAcentral lists this ribosomal RNA (460 nucleotides) under uncultured bacterium. RNAcentral's name for it is "partial 16S ribosomal RNA". It matches the Rfam family "Bacterial small subunit ribosomal RNA", at positions 338 to 795 of the family's 1533-position model. The record is from RNAcentral.